Long non-coding RNA from Octopus bimaculoides (California two-spot octopus), 1245 nucleotides. RefSeq lists it as uncharacterized. The record is from RefSeq and is a predicted model, not a curated record. NCBI's taxonomy places the organism in Eukaryota, Metazoa, Mollusca, Cephalopoda, Octopoda, Octopodidae.
GGCUUGAGGCAAUGCUGGGGCACUGUCUAGACUGUUUUUAGUCGAACGAAUCAACUCCUGUACUCGUGUUAUUUUUUUUUUUCGGAUAUUCUCUUUUUUUUAAUCUGAUUAAACCAACACGAAUUAAUGAUGGCAGUCAGACUAAGCUUUGAAUAAAGGAAAUUCAUUCUAAAAUGCUACUGGAAGUGUGAAAACGCAGUCAAAGUGCAAAGACAGUUUGAGAUGGAGUUUCAAAUAGAUCCACCAACGCGACUUAACAUCAUUCAAAUUAGAGAUAAGUUUGAAGCCGGUGGAACUGUUCAGAAUGUCCACGAAAAGCGUUCCGGAAGACCAUGAAUAUCGACAACCUGAACGAAGCAAGAAGGAGUGCUGGAAACGUAUCACUAAAGCCCAAGAAUAUCUGUGAGGUAAGCGAGUCGUGAGGGAGGUAUUUCAAAAUCGUCUGUCCAACGUAUUUUGAAGCGUUGUCAAUGGAAAAGUUACUUUCCAAGAUUAGUCCAUGCUAUUAAUGACGAUGAUCCAGACCGAAGAGUGUAGUAUUGCGAGAUACUUGGCACGAUGUGUAGAAGAUGCACACUUUCCAACAAAGAUUGUGUGGAGUGGUGAGGCUACAUUCAAAUUAAAUGGUUCAAUUGACCGCUACAAUUGCACCUACUAGGGCCUGACGAUCCGCAUGUUAUGGUGAAACACCACGUUAAUUUACCAGGAGUUACAGUGUAGUGUUGCCUAUCAUCAAGAGGACUAAUUGGACUAUUCUUUUUUGACGGUGCUGUGACUGGUCCCGUUUACUUGAAAUUACUGCAACAGUCUGUCAUGCCAAGCAUUGGAGAAGAGUUUUAUUUUCAGCAAGUUGGGGCACCGCAACACUACCAUCGCGAUGUUAGACCCGUCCUUGAUGGGAUCUUGCUAAACAGGUGGAUUGGAUGAAGGGGUUUCGUUGAAUACCUUCCGCGUUCACCAGACCUCACACCACUAGACAUUUUUUUAUGGGGAUACCUAAAAGACAAAGUCUACACUAUGAAACUUGCAACAGUCGCUGAUUUGAGAGUAGCCAUUGAACGAGAAUGCACACAAAUACCAAACGAAAUUGUUUCGUGAUGUUUGCGAUUCCAUUGCUUCGCGUUGACAGCAGUGCCUGGACCAAAACGGACAUCAGUUUGAAAACAGGCGUUGACAAAACAAUAAAUAAUGUCUGUAGAUUCUAUUAAAUUUUGAAAAUGAAAUGUAUUUUAAUAAACACCUACU